AAUGAACGCUGGCGGCGUGCCUAACACAUGCAAGUCGAGCGAACAGACGAGGAGCUUGCUCCUCUGACGUUAGCGGCGGACGGGUGAGUAACACGUGGAUAACCUACCUAUAAGACUGGGAUAACUUCGGGAAACCGGAGCUAAUACCGGAUAAUAUAUUGAACCGCAUGGUUCAAUAGUUAAAGACGGUUUUGCUGUCACUUAUAGAUGGAUCCGCGCCGCAUUAGCUAGUUGGUAAGGUAACGGCUUACCAAGGCAACGAUGCGUAGCCGACCUGAGAGGGUGAUCGGCCACACUGGAACUGAGACACGGUCCAGACUCCUACGGGAGGCAGCAGUAGGGAAUCUUACGCAAUGGGCGAAAGCCUGACGGAGCAACGCCGCGUGAGUGAUGAAGGUCUUCGGAUCGUAAAACUCUGUUAUUAGGGAAGAAAAAAUGUGUAAGUAACUAUGCACGUCUUGACGGUACCUAAUGAGAAAGCCCCGGCUAACUACGUG
Molecule: ribosomal RNA, 497 nt
Filed under: uncultured bacterium
Lineage: Bacteria
Description: partial 16S ribosomal RNA
Rfam family: Bacterial small subunit ribosomal RNA
Source: RNAcentral